GGAAGGCUGUAGCUCAGUGAUAGAAUCCAUGCUUUGCAUGCAGAAUGUCCUGGGUUCAAUCCCUAGUGUCUCCA
Podarcis lilfordi (Lilford's wall lizard) is the source of this 74-nucleotide non-coding RNA. Lineage: Eukaryota; Metazoa; Chordata; Lepidosauria; Squamata; Lacertidae. The record is from the annotation of a GenBank genome assembly.